CAGGGUGAGAUGUGUUGAAAGUUCAGUGUGUUUGUUCAGGAAGGAAAUGUGCUGAAUAAUUAUAUUAAAAGAUGGAUUUAGGCAUUUUUUUCUUCCUCUUUCACACCCUGCAGGAAUGCUAUUGAUUCCUCUUUAUUCAAGCAAUGGUUGCAUAACUUGCAAAGUGGGAUUGGGAUUCUAGCUGAUGGCACCUUGGCUCUGAGAUAAGUUCUAAUUCAAGUUCCAGGUAUUGUAUUUGCAAGAGGACCUGUUGUGACUGUGUUGAUACUUCUGGAAUCAGAUGGUGAAACUUAUGCUGUCCUUACUGAACAGGCAAGGGUUCCUACUGGAAGAAUUAUUUUGGAAUUGCCUGCUGGAAUGUUGGAUGAUGACAAGGGUGAUUUCGUUGGCACUGCAGUUCGUUGAAGAGGAGACUGGCAUAAAGUUCAAACUUGAAGACAUGGUUGAUCUCACUGCUUUCUUGGAUUCUUCAACAAGAUGCAAAUUUUUUCCCUCAC
Non-coding RNA from Arachis ipaensis, 497 nucleotides. Lineage: Eukaryota; Viridiplantae; Streptophyta; Magnoliopsida; Fabales; Fabaceae. The record is from RefSeq and is a predicted model, not a curated record.